RNAcentral lists this long non-coding RNA (1092 nucleotides) under Homo sapiens (human). RNAcentral describes it as "HSALNT0265299". The record is from RNAcentral. Lineage: Eukaryota; Metazoa; Chordata; Mammalia; Primates; Hominidae.
AGGCCCCUCAAAGUUUGGCAGAGGCCACAGCAAACCUGUUUCAAAAAUGCUUACUCAGCAGAUGUGACCUUUUCCUAAAUGUUUUUGGGUUUUACAACAAUCUAACUUACCUUUUCCAAUUGAGGCACGGAAACCAAAAGCCAGAGUCAAAGUUGCAGAGAGGAACGGAGGGAUUGCAGUGAGAUUUGGUGAACAUCUGGGGAAGUUUCAAAGAAGAUGCCUAGACUGGGGAACUGCAUUCACAUCCCAUCAGGAAUUUGCGCUCUCCAGUAAGUAUUGAGAUAACUUUGUGAUUUCAGGAUCACUUUUGUUUUUAUUAUUUUUAACUUUAGAGGUAAUGGAAGUUUCUGGGAGAGGUGGGUUUGGUUUUGUUUUUGCUUUAGAAUGUUUACUUGCAAUUGAAUGAAAUGCCUUUCGUUUUUUGAAAUUCCAUGUAACCUUCAGUAAUUGUUUAGGUGACUUCUAAAAAAGUUUAACUAGGAACUAGGAACAUUGCCUAAAUUUAAGUUGUGCAAACUAUUUUGCAGUAGUGAACAGCUAUAUUCCUAUUUCAUACACAUCAAUUCAAGCCUGUUCUCUUUUGGCCCUCAUUCCAUAAAUAAGGCGUGGAGAAACAAGCCACAGGAGGAUUCUGCUUUACUGAGUGGAGGAGAAAUCCAUCGAGAAUGGGCCGUUUGCUAGUUCAUUCGUUUGGUGACUUUUUCCUGAUGGGAAAUAGCAGAGCAGUGGAUCACCAGGAAUAGAGUCUGGCGAGAUCGCAGCUCCAGGAUCCUUUCGGGGUGGGCAGGAGGCGUCAGUCAGUGGGACGGAGCCAGAUCGAGAAACUGGGGACUCUAAGUUGACUCUUCAGGGAAUGUCCAGAUUUUAGAUUUCUAAGCAUAGCAAAAUUCGGUUACUUUCACACUUGGAACUUAAAACGGCAGCCUCGGAAGGAAGACCAUUUCUGGUAUUCUACAGCUCUGCUGCUUGCAGGGAGUUGAGAUGCAGCGGCAGGUUGAGAAGCUGCGGCGCCGCGGACGAGGAAGGAGGGUGCGCCCGAGGGUAGAGGAAGGGGCUUUCCGCGCCCAUCCUGUGCGUGCGGCCGGCUCGCGG